GAUGAACGCUGGCGGCGUGCCUAAUACAUGCAAGUCGAGCGAACAGACGAGGAGCUUGCUCCUCUGACGUUAGCGGCGGACGGGUGAGUAACACGUGGAUAACCUACCUAUAAGACUGGGAUAACUUCGGGAAACCGGAGCUAAUACCGGAUAAUAUAUUGAACCGCAUGGUUCAAUAGUGAAAGACGGUUUUGCUGUCACUUAUAGAUGGAUCCGCGCCGCAUUAGCUAGUUGGUAAGGUAACGGCUUACCAAGGCAACGAUGCGUAGCCGACCUGAGAGGGGGACCGGCCCCACGGAACAUGAGACACGGCCAGACUCCUACGGGAGGCAGCAGUAGGGAAUCUUCCGCAAUGGGCGAAAGCUUGACGGAGCAACGCCGCGUGAGUGAUGAAGGUCUUCGGAUCGUAAAACUCUGUUAUUAGGGAAGAACAAAUGUGUAAGUAACUAUGCACGUCUUGACGGUACCUAAUCAGAAAGCCACGGCUAACUACGUG
Molecule: ribosomal RNA, 496 nt
Filed under: uncultured bacterium
Lineage: Bacteria
Description: partial 16S ribosomal RNA
Rfam family: Bacterial small subunit ribosomal RNA
Source: RNAcentral